This 502-nucleotide ribosomal RNA is filed under the name uncultured Lachnospiraceae bacterium. RNAcentral's name for it is "bacterial SSU rRNA". It matches the Rfam family "Bacterial small subunit ribosomal RNA", at positions 8 to 507 of the family's 1533-position model. Lineage: Bacteria; Bacillati; Bacillota; Clostridia; Lachnospirales; Lachnospiraceae. The record is from RNAcentral.
AGAGUUUGAUCCUGGCUCAGGAUGAACGCUGGCGGCGUGCUUAACACAUGCAAGUCGAACGGGGCGGCGGGGAGGAAUCCCUUCGGGGAGGAGACCCCGCGGCCUAGUGGCGGACGGGUGAGUAACGCGUGGGCAACCUGCCCCAUACCGGGGGAUAACAGCCGGAAACGGCUGCUAACACCGCAUAAGCGCUGGGGGCCGCAUGGCUCCCAGCGGAAAACUCCGGUGGUAUGGGAUGGGCCCGCGUCUGAUUAGGCAGUUGGCGGGGCAGCGGCCCACCAAACCGACGAUCAGUAGCCGGCCUGAGAGGGCGGCCGGCCACAUUGGGACUGAGACACGGCCCAGACUCCUGCGGGAGGCAGCAGUGGGGAAUAUUGCACAAUGGGGGGAACCCUGAUGCAGCGACGCCGCGUGGGCGAGGAAGUAUUUCGGUAUGUAAAGCCCUAUCGGCAGGGAAGAAGAAAUGACGGUACCUGAAUAAGAAGCACCGGCUAAAUACGUG